RNAcentral lists this long non-coding RNA (2150 nucleotides) under Ananas comosus (pineapple). RNAcentral describes it as "long non-coding RNA (ACOM_LNC002448)". The record is from RNAcentral. Lineage: Eukaryota; Viridiplantae; Streptophyta; Magnoliopsida; Poales; Bromeliaceae.
UCUGUAUAAGUAGUGCAACAUAUGCAUUGAUAAUAAAUAUUUUGUAUGAUUUUUACACUGAAUUACGCACAGUUUAGUAUAUUACGCAAAAAUAAUAUAUUAUAUUACAACAUACUAUAAAAAUUAUAUAAUAUAUGUACAAACGGUGCAUAUUUUAUACUAUUUGUGUAGAUAUUUACACCAUUUGUGUAAAUGUUGCACUAUAAUGAGAGGAUGUUGCAUCCUUUAGAUGUGUGUUGCACUCUUUCUUUUUGAAAAUUAAAUUUCAUUGCAUAUUAAAUAAAAUAUAAAACUUCUUGAAAAUGACAACUGCUAAGUCAUAAUUACAUACAUGUACCUUUCUCUUGAAACGAGAAACCUCAUUCAAGAGAAAAUAAAAAAUAUAAAGAAUAAUUAAUAAGAUGAAAGAGUGCAAUAUUCUCUCAAAUAGUGCAACAAUUUCUUCAAAAUAGUGCAAUAUCUAUAUAAGUAGUGCAUCAUUUGCAUUGUUAAUAUACAUUUUGUAUGAUUUUUAUACUAAAUUACGCACAGUUUAGUAUAUUACGUAAAAAUAAUAUAUUAUAUUACAACAUACUAUAAAAAUUAUAUAAUAUAUGUACAAACGGUGCAUAUUUUAUACUAUUUGUGUAGAUAUUUACANAAGAAUAAUUAGUAAGAUGAAAGAGUGCAACAUCCUCUCAAAUAGUGCAACAAGCUCUUCAAAAUAGUGCAAUAUCUGUAUAAGUAGUGCAACAUACGCAUUGUUAAUACACAUUUUACAUAAUUUUUACACUAAAUUACAUACAGUUUAAUAUAUUACGCGAAAAUAAUAUGCAACAUAUAAUAUAAUAAACUGUAUGUAAUUAAUUUAGUAUAAAAAUCAUACAAAAUGUGUAUUAACAAUGCAUAUGUUGCACUAUAUAUACAGAUAUUUCACUAUUUUGAAGAGCUUGUUACACUAUUUGAGAGGAUAUUGCACUCUUUCAUCUUAUUAAUUAUUCUUUAUUCUUUUUAUUUUCUCUUAAAUGAGGUUUCUCGUUUCACCAGAAAGGUACAUGCAUGUAAUUAUGGCUUAGCAAUUGUCAUUUUUAAGAAAUUUUACACUUUAUUUAAUAUGCAAUGAAAUUUAAUUUUUUUAAAAAAAGAGUGCAACAUACAUCUAAAUGGUGCAAUAUCCUUUCAUAAUAGUACAACAUUUACACAAAUUGUGUAAAUAUCUGUACAAAUAGUAUAAAAUAAGCACCGUUUGUACAUAUAUUGUAUAAUUUUUAUAGUAUGCUGUAAUAUAUUAUAUUAUUUUCGGGUAAUAUACUAAACUGUGCGUACUUUAGUGUAAAAAUCAUGUAAAAUGUGUAUUAACAAUGCAUAUGUUGCACUACUUAUACAGAUAUUGCACUAUUUUAAAAAGCUUGUUGCACUAUUUGAGAGGAUGUUGCUCUCUUUCAUUUUAUUAAUUAUUCUUUAUUCUUUUUAUUUUCUCUUGAAUGAGAUUUCUCGUUUCACGAGAAAGAUACAUACAUGUAAUUAUGNUUCUUUUUAUUUUCUCUUGAAUGAGAUUUCUCGUUUCACGAGAAAGAUACAUACAUGUAAUUAUGACUUAGCAGCUGUCAUUUCCAAAAAGUUUUACAUUUUAUUUAAUAUGCAAUAAAAUUUAAUUUUCAAAAAGAAAGAGUACAACACGCAUCUAAAUGGUGCAACAUCCUCUCAUAAUAAUGCAACAUUUACACAAAUAGUGUAAAUAUAUGUAUAAAUAGUGUAAAAUAUGCACCGUUUGUACAUAUAUUGUAUAAUUUUUAUAGUAUGUUGUAAUAUAUUAUAUUAUUUUCGCGUAAUAUACUAAACUGUGCGUAAUUUAAUGUAAAAAUCAUGCAAAAUGUUUAUUAACAAUACAUAUGUUGCACUAAUUAUACAGAUAUUGCACUAUUUUGAAGAGCUUGUUGUAUUAUUUGAGAGGAUGUUGCACUCUUUCAUCUUAUUAAUUAUUCUUUUUUUUUAUUUUGUCUUGAAUGAGGUUUCCCGUUUCACGAGAAUGGUACAUAUAAUUAUGACUUAGCAUAUGAAUUUUGAAAGAGGGGUAGUUUGAUCAUCCUUCUGAAAAUUCGGCUCGAAUAUGCAAAAACUAAAAAGAUGGUCCCCUUUUGCAAAAGCGCAAAAUUAGUGAAUUUUUUUAU